UACGUAGGGGGCAAGCGUUGUCCGGAUUUAUUGGGCGUAAAGAGCGUGUAGGCGGCCUGACAGGUCUGCUGUGAAAACUCGAGACUCAACCUCGAGAUGUCGGCGGAAACCGUCUGGCUAGAGUCCGGAAGAGGAGAGUGGAAUUCCUGGUGUAGCGGUGAAAUGCGCAGAUAUCAGGAAGAACACCCGUGGCGAAGGCGGCUCUCUGGGACGGUACUGACGCUGAGACGCGAAAGCGUGGGGAGCAAACAGG
RNAcentral lists this ribosomal RNA (253 nucleotides) under uncultured bacterium. Its description in RNAcentral is "partial 16S ribosomal RNA". It matches the Rfam family "Bacterial small subunit ribosomal RNA", at positions 524 to 776 of the family's 1533-position model. The record is from RNAcentral.